Molecule: ribosomal RNA, 531 nt
Filed under: uncultured bacterium
Lineage: Bacteria
Description: bacterial SSU rRNA
Rfam family: Bacterial small subunit ribosomal RNA
Source: RNAcentral
CCUUGACAUACUAAGAACUUUCCAGAGAUGGAUUGGUGCCUUCGGGAACUUAGAUACAGGUGCUGCAUGGCUGUCGUCAGCUCGUGUCGUGAGAUGUUGGGUUAAGUCCCGCAACGAGCGCAACCCUUUUCCUUAUUUGCCAGCGGGUCAUGCCGGGAACUUUAAGGAUACUGCCAGUGACAAACUGGAGGAAGGCGAGGACGACGUCAAGUCAUCAUGGCCCUUACGGCCAGGGCUACACACGUGCUACAAUGGUCGGUACAAAGGGUUGCUACCUCGCGAGAGGAUGCUAAUCUCAAAAAGCCGAUCGUAGUCCGGAUCGCAGUCUGCAACUCGACUGCGUGAAGUCGGAAUCGCUAGUAAUCGCGGAUCAGAAUGCCGCGGUGAAUACGUUCCCGGGCCUUGUACACACCGCCCGUCACACCAUGGGAGUUUGUUGCACCAGAAGUAGGUAGUCUAACCGCAAGGAGGACGCUUACCACGGUGUGGCCGAUGACUGGGGUGAAGUCGUAACAAGGUAAGCGUAGAUGA